Molecule: long non-coding RNA, 537 nt
Organism: Labrus mixtus (cuckoo wrasse)
Lineage: Eukaryota; Metazoa; Chordata; Actinopteri; Labriformes; Labridae
Exons: 4
Source: RefSeq, a predicted model, not a curated record
UUUUCCUCCCCCCACCCCCCUCCCUUUCCCCUCUCCUUCCUGCCUCCCUUUCACCUCGCCUCCUCCCGUCUUUCCUUUCCUCCUUCCCUUCCUCCCUCUCCUCUUCUUCUUCUCAGCAUCAGCAAGGGCUCAGCGGGCACCAUCCUCUUCUUCGUCUCUGGGGAAGAAGGCGAAGAAGAGGAAGACAGACAUCGUUACAAGACACCCUUCAAAUGAAGUUGGUGAUGUGACAGAGGCAGAACUGAUGUACACUUUCCAUAUCAGGAUGAACAUGUCUGAAUUUCAUGUUCAGGGGGUACUGUCUCGUCGACUGACUCCCAGGUACCUCCACCCGCACAUCCAGGGACAGGCAAACAUUAGGUAAUGUCCCAGUGCAAACAGAAGUCCAUUGUAGAGGAGCCGUCACCCUGGUCAUGCGUACACUGCAGAGGAGCUGUUGGGUCGGAAAGAGUUCAUGCAGCAACACAAGCUCACCAUCUAUAAACUGUCUGUGAUCAUUAUAUACACAUGGCACAUCUCUCUCUCUGUAACCCCCCC